This is a non-coding RNA of Cinara cedri, 1015 nucleotides long. The record is from the annotation of a GenBank genome assembly. Lineage: Eukaryota; Metazoa; Arthropoda; Insecta; Hemiptera; Aphididae.
AAUAGUAAUAAUCUGUUUAUUUAUACGAGCAUAUAUACAAAUAAAAAUCGAAAUCAACUCGUUUAAGUGUAAAAGGUCGAGAGCGGUAUGUUUUUCUGGUCGACGGACUCCCGCGGACGAAAAAAAAAAAAAAACAUUAUCGUCUAAUACGUACACAAACGUUACGCGCACGCAAAUAACACGCCGUCGCAGUUGCGUGUACGGUUAAACAAUAUGUUGUGUUUUUUUUUUUUUUUAACGAGACUGAUAGUGCAAUGUUAUGAAUUGUAAAUAUAAUACCCGGGGAUAAAAAAUGAUAACAAUAAUAAUAUCGCCGGACGGACUGUUGCUCGACGACGAUCGCUCGGCGAACCGACAGCGAAAUAACGAUCCAUGUUGAGAUGAGAAAUCGUCGUAAACCGCGAUUCGCCUAAUAGACGUUAUUGUAAAAAAAAAAAAAACAAUACAAGUUCUGAUCCGGGGGGAUCGCGCGACGUUGCCGUUAUCGUUCGCUACCCCGCGAGUAAUUUUUUUUUUUUUUACUUUUUUAAUUUUCCCGCUCUUUGUCAUAGUGCAACGCGCGAUCGUAUCGGUGAACUCGCGACUUAUAUUCCUACCCGUUUUGUGUGGUGUUCGUCCGCUCGAUUAUUCUACUAACCAGCAGCAACUGACCGGCAUCCACCGGUCCGCCGACUAACGGAUUGGAUUGGGACCACAACCGCACAGAAAAUUAUUCGCAAACAAACGCCGUGCGUGCCCUGCGGUGUCACGAGAAGUGUGCAUGUUUUUUUUUUUCAUUUUUAAUUUUUCGUUUCGCCGUUCAGCGUUUUAUUUACUUACGCGUCAUUGCGUCGCGCAUAAAGGCCCGGGCGCAUAUUUUCGAGACGCGUCGGCCGCCGCUGCACUAUAACAACAACAUCGGCGUAUAUUCACGCCACCGACAAGAAGAAGCGAGGACAGAUGUAUGGGUACUAAAAUAAAUAUACGAACGCGAUUUUUUUUUUUUUUUUUGAAAUAAAAAAUAAAUUAUUUAUUU